GGUGAGUAACACGUGGAUAACCUACCUAUAAGACUGGGAUAACUUCGGGAAACCGGAGCUAAUACCGGAUAAUAUUUUGAACCGCAUGGUUCAAAAGUGAAAGAUGGUCUUGCUGUCACUUAUAGAUGGAUCCGCGCUGCAUUAGCUAGUUGGUAAGGUAACGGCUUACCAAGGCAACGAUGCAUAGCCGACCUGAGAGGGUGAUCGGCCACACUGGAACUGAGACACGGUCCAG
Molecule: ribosomal RNA, 235 nt
Filed under: uncultured Staphylococcus sp.
Lineage: Bacteria; Bacillati; Bacillota; Bacilli; Caryophanales; Staphylococcaceae
Description: partial 16S ribosomal RNA
Rfam family: Bacterial small subunit ribosomal RNA
Source: RNAcentral